This 467-nucleotide ribosomal RNA is filed under the name uncultured bacterium. RNAcentral describes it as "partial 16S ribosomal RNA". It matches the Rfam family "Bacterial small subunit ribosomal RNA", at positions 28 to 507 of the family's 1533-position model. The record is from RNAcentral.
GAUGAACGCUGGCGGCGUGCUUAACACACGCAAGUCGAACGGAAAGGCUCCUGCUUGCAGGGGUACUCGAGUGGCGAACGGGUGAGUAACACGUGGGUGAUCUGCCCUGCACUUCGGGAUAAGCCUGGGAAACUGGGUCUAAUACCGGAUAGGACCACAUUUUGGAUGGUGUGGUGGAAAGUUUUUCGGUGUGGGAUGAGCUCGCGGCCUAUCAGCUUGUUGGUGGGGUAAUGGCCUACCAAGGCGUCGACGGGUAGCCGGCCUGAGAGGGUGUACGGCCACAUUGGGACUGAGAUACGGCCCAGACUCCUACGGGAGGCAGCAGUGGGGAAUAUUGCACAAUGGGCGCAAGCCUGAUGCAGCGACGCCGCGUGGGGGAUGACGGCCUUCGGGUUGUAAACUCCUUUCGCUAGGGACGAAGCGUUUUUGUGACGGUACCUGGAGAAGAAGCACCGGCUAACUACGUG